RNAcentral lists this long non-coding RNA (1270 nucleotides) under Pelobates cultripes (western spadefoot toad). Lineage: Eukaryota; Metazoa; Chordata; Amphibia; Anura; Pelobatidae. The record is from RNAcentral.
CUGUCUAUUAGAGGGUCUCUCUCUGGCUGUCUCUCAGGGGGUCUCUCUCUGGCUGUCUCUCAGAGGGGCUGUCUCUCAGAGGGUCUCUCUCUGGCUGUCUCUCAGAGGGGCUGUCUCUGGCUGUCUCUCAGGGGGUCUGUCUCUGGCUGUCUCUCAGAGGGUCUCUCUCUGGCUGUCUCUCAGAGGGUCUCUCUCUGGCUGUCUCUCACAGGGGUUGUCUAUUAGAGGGUCUAUCUCUGGCUGUCUCUCAGAGGGUCUGUCUCUGGCUGUCUCUCUCUGGCUGUCUCUCAGAGGGUCUCUCUCUGGCUGUCUCUCAGGAGGUCUGUCUCUGGCUGUCUCUCAGAGGGUCUCUCUCUAGCUGUCUCUCAGGGGUCUGUCUCUGGCUGUCUCUCAGAGGGUCUCUCUCUGGCUGUCUCUCAGAGGGGUCUGUCUCUGGCUGUCUCUCAGAGGGGCUGUCUCUCAGGAGGUCUGUCUCUGGCUGUCUCUCAGGGGGUCUGUCUCUGGCUGUCUAUUAGUCUCUCAGAGGGGCUGUCUAUUAGAGGGUCUGUCUCUGGCUUUCUCUCAGAGGGGCUGUCUAUUAGAGGGUCUGUCUCUGGCUGUCUCUCAGAGGGGCUGUCUAUUAGAGGGUCUGUCUCUGGCUGUCUCUCAGAGGGGCUGUCUAUUAGAGGGUCUGUCUCUGGCUUUCUCUCAGAGGGGCUGUCUAUUAGAGGGUCUGUCUCUGGCUUUCUCUCAGAGGGGCUGUCUAUUAGAGGGUCUGUCUCUGGCUGUCUCUCAGAGGGGCUGUCUAUUAGAGGGUCUGUCUCUGGCUUUCUCUCAGAGGGGCUGUCUAUUAGAGGGUCUGUCUCUGGCUGUCUCUCAGAGGGGCUGUCUAUUAGAGGGUCUGUCUCUGGCUGUCUCUCAGAGGGGCUGUCUAUUAGAGGGUCUGUCUCUGGCUUUCUCUCAGAGGGGCUGUCUCUCAGGGGGUCUGUCUCUGGCUGUCUCUCAGGGGGUCUGUCUCUGGCUGUCUCUCAGAGGGGCUGUCUAUUAGAGGGUCUGUCUCUGGCUGUCUCUCAGAGGGGCUGUCUCUGGCUGUCUCUCAGAGGGGCUGUCUCUCAGGGGGGCUGUCUCUGGCUGUCUCUCAGAGGGUCUGUCUCUGGCUGUCUCUCAGAGGGGCUGUCUCUCAGGAGGUCUGUCUCUGGCUGUCUCUCAGGGGGUCUGUCUCUGGCUGUCUCUCAGAGGGGCUGUCUAUUAGAGGGUCUGUCUCUGGCUGUCUCUCAGAGGGGCUGUCAAU